RNAcentral lists this transfer RNA (82 nucleotides) under Cordylochernes scorpioides. RNAcentral describes it as "tRNA-Thr". The stretch from base 7 to 66 matches the Rfam family "tRNA", at positions 7 to 64 of the family's 71-position model. From Rfam's summary of the family: Transfer RNA (tRNA) molecules are approximately 80 nucleotides in length. Their secondary structure includes four short double-helical elements and three loops (D, anti-codon, and T loops). The record is from RNAcentral. Lineage: Eukaryota; Metazoa; Arthropoda; Arachnida; Pseudoscorpiones; Chernetidae.
AUAAGAGUAGCCUAGUGGACAUGGCAUCUGCUCGGUAAGCGGAACACUGUGGGUUCGAUUCCCAUCCCUGGACACUUUUAUU